This 1224-nucleotide long non-coding RNA is filed under the name Homo sapiens (human). RNAcentral describes it as "HSALNT0294341". Lineage: Eukaryota; Metazoa; Chordata; Mammalia; Primates; Hominidae. The record is from RNAcentral.
CGGGAUUGUAAACGCACCAAUCAGCGCUCUGUCAAAACAGACCACUGGGCUCUACCAAUCAGCAGGAUGUGGGUGGGGCCAGAUAAGAGAAUAAAAGCAGGCUGCCCGAGCUAGCAGUGGCAACCCGCUAGGGUAUCCUUCCCUACUGUGGAAGCUUUGUUCUUUCGUUCUUUGCAAUAAAUCCUGCUGCUGCUCACUGUUUGGGUCCACACUGCCUUUAUGAGCUGUUAAACUCACCCCGAAGGUCUGCAGCUUCACUGCUGAGGCCAGCGAGACCACGAACCCACCGGGAGGAACGAACAACUCCAGACGCGCCGCCUUAAGAGCUGUAACACUCACCGCCAAGGUCUGCAGCUUCACUCCUGAGCCAGGGAGACCACGAACCCACCAGAAGGAAGAAACUCCGAGCACAUCCUAACAUCAGAAGGAACAAACUCCAGAGGCGCCACCUUAGGAGCUGUAACACUCACAGGGAGGGUGGGCGGCUUCAUUCUUGAAGUCAGUGAGACCAAGAACCCACCAAUUCUGGACAUACUAUCACCUUUCUUUUAUUCAUGUCUUGUACCUUUUAGAAAUCUUUUCAGUUUAGCAUGGGGGUUCCUGAUUUUGUUUGAAUGUUUUGUGGAUGUUCCAAAAUUUAUAUAGCUAAUGCUUUAUUGAUGAAUUUUAAUUUCCUAUAUUGUAUUCUGAUUUAUUUUAUUUAUUUGUUUUAUUUUUUUGAGACAGAGUCUCACUCUGUUGCUCAGGCUGGAGUGCAGUGGCACAAUCUCAGCUCACGGCAACCUCCACCUCCUGGGUUUAAGUGAUUCUCAUGCGUCGGCCUCCCAAGUAGGUGGGACUAGAGGUGCACACCACCACACCAGGCUAAUUUUUCUGUUUUUACUAGAGACAGGGUUUUACCAUGUUGGCCAGGCUGGUCUCGAACUCCUGGCCUCAAGUGAGCCGCCUGCUUCAGCCUCCCAAAGUGCUGGGAUUACAGGUGUGAGGCACUGCGCCUGGCUGUAUUGUGAUUAAUUUUAAGAAUAAUCAUUUUGUACAUAUUAUUUUGCCUGUAUGUAGGUAUAUCUCUAAGAAAAAGUCCUCAGCAUACAUUUUUCUAAUUAUGAGUGAAGAUGAACGAUUUUAAAAUGUGUAAAUACCAUCCUAAUUUACCCCCACACGUAUGUGUGUGUGAAUUAUCCAUUCGCUGUCCUUGACUCACAUUUUCUCCUUGUUAGAUUUUCU